UCAUUGCUCUAAUCUGGAGGGAGAGGAACAACAUCAGAUUUGACAAAAAGAAGUAUGAAGAGAACCAGUUAUGCAGGGAGAUUGUUCUACACAUUGAGAUUCGAGGCAAGAACUGUAGCAGAUGGAAAGAUGCUUUACGACAACUUAACAGAUUUCCAUAGUUGUAGAUUGUAAUAGAGUGCUAAUAUACUAAGUUUGUAAUUAGUGAAAGAAUAAGUAGGUACUUAGUGGAGGC
This 235-nucleotide long non-coding RNA is filed under the name Nicotiana benthamiana. RNAcentral describes it as "long non-coding RNA (NBEN_LNC023050)". Lineage: Eukaryota; Viridiplantae; Streptophyta; Magnoliopsida; Solanales; Solanaceae. The record is from RNAcentral.